This 253-nucleotide ribosomal RNA is filed under the name uncultured bacterium. RNAcentral describes it as "partial 16S ribosomal RNA". It matches the Rfam family "Bacterial small subunit ribosomal RNA", at positions 524 to 776 of the family's 1533-position model. The record is from RNAcentral.
UACAGAGGUCUCAAGCGUUGUUCGGAUUCAUUGGGCGUAAAGGGUGCGUAGGCGGCGCGGUAAGUCGGGUGUUAAAUCUCGGAGCUUAACUCCGAAACUGCAUUCGAUACUGCCGUGCUUGAGGACUGGAGAGGAGACUGGAAUUUACGGUGUAGCAGUGAAAUGCGUAGAUAUCGUAAGGAAGACCAGUGGCGAAGGCGGGUCUCUGGACAGUUCCUGACGCUGAGGCACGAAGGCCAGGGGAGCAAACGGG